GAGGGGUGAGAAAAAGUCGUAUAAAAGGCGAGAGAAAAGUCGAUAGGGAAUAGUCGUGUGAGCAUCUCCGACACGGCAACAACUUCAGUGCACUUUUGCAAUCAGCUCUCAGCUAUCUGCCAUCAUCAGUUUUUAAUCAUGGUUGUAUACAAGGAGAAAGAAAAGGCGAAAGAAAUCAGUCGAGUGAGCAUCUCCGAUAUGCAAUGAGUUGCGGUGCACAGCAGCAACUGCAGUGCACUAUUUUACACCAACUGCAUUCUUCGUCGAGGUGCUAGUUUUAAAUCAUGGUAAACUUUGGCGUCGCGUGCUGCUGUUGGGUGUUGUAUAGUUGACGGCUGGUUCAGCCAUGGUGUACCAAUGUCUCCUGGGUAUGGUGGACAACAAAUCGCAACGCCGCCACCUUACUACACAACAUACGACACGACCAGUUGCUUCACCAAGGCCCCCAAGUACUACACCACCAAGGCUUAACAUUAUUGUACCAAAACUUAUGCUGCCUGAGCUACUACACCGAAGCCCCGAAGCAUUAUUCUUCCCCGAGGUACACAACCAGAGGUUCGAGUACUACAGCGAUGCACCGGAGUACUGCACCACCAAGGCACCGGAGUACUGCACCACCACAUAUUUCAUGGUUCUUAGAAAAGAUGAAACAAAUCAGUCAUCUCCGACACGACAACAUCAAUUGCAGUGCCAAGGCUUAGUAUUACACCACAAUUUAUGUUGCCCCGAGACUCUACACCAAAGCGCCUAAGUGCUAUAUCGAGGUCACUAAUUACUACACCACCAAGGCACCGGAUUACUACACUAAACAUACGCUGCUCCAGCUUAUUACACCGAGGCUCCCCAACACUACACCGGAGUACUACUACAUAUCAUGGUCGUAUGAAAGGAGAGUAAAGGUGGAAGAAUUCAGCAACCGAGUGAGCAUUUCCGUUACAGCAACAGGAACUGCCGUGCACUAGUUGUCAUCAUCUUCAUUCUUCGUCGCGUUACAAGUGUUUAAUAAAGUCUAGUUAACUAUGGUGGCGUGCUGCUGUUGGGUGUUGUAUCGUUGAUGGCUGGGUCGACCACUGGUGUGUUGAUUUCUCCUGGGCAUGGCGGGCAUGAACAACAACAUACGCAACAACCGGUCACUACACUGAGGCCCCCAAGUUCUACACCACCAAGGCUCCAGAAGUACUACACCACGCAGGCACCACCAGAGUACUACACCACGCAGGCACCACCAGAGUACUACACCACGCAGGCACCACCAGAGUACUA
This 1263-nucleotide long non-coding RNA is filed under the name Daphnia pulex (common water flea). RNAcentral's name for it is "uncharacterized LOC124202517, transcript variant X2". Lineage: Eukaryota; Metazoa; Arthropoda; Branchiopoda; Diplostraca; Daphniidae. The record is from RNAcentral.